GGUCCAGAAGAAGGAAAGGAUGAAUCCAAAAGAGUAGAAUACUCCCAGGGCUCAUCCCAUCUCCUAAAUGACCUGCUGAAGGAAAUGGAGAAUGCAGCGCGUGGGACUGACCAACAAACUGCACAGGACGCGCUGCAGGAAGGCAGCCAUCCCACGCUGCCAGUCUGGGACAGAGGAACGCAGAUAGCGCCAACGACUGGCAUGCCAGGGAUGAAUGCUGGGAAAAGCACAAAGGCUGCUGUUCACAAAUCUGUGCGAAAGCGCCGCAUCGCAGCGAUGGUACUGUUCUCAGCUGUGCUGCUGUCUGCACUGUUGUUGGCCUGUGGUGCUGCGUUAUGGAUGUGCAAAAAAUACCUGUGAGUUGGCUUUUCCCCAAAACACUUUAUUGCUGCAUUUGGCAAGGAGGCAUUUGUGGUGCCAGGACCCUGGACGGCCAAAUCAGUUGCUGGCAGUACACUGCCAGGACUUACGUUGCAAAGUCUUUCAAGUUUCCCCUUAUUUCCUGUCCGUGAGUAGUGCUUUCUGAAACUCAUUCUCACAGAGUGUGCAAGAGAGAAGAAAGAGCAGCAGAACGAGCUCUUCCUGAUACCAACUGAGAGAGUGUUCCAGCUGGAGAUGAGGGCAGAACGGAGCUGGGAGAGGCAACAAGAGAGACUCCUGCCCAACCAAACCAGAAUCUCAACAAUAGUUCCAGUCCAUUCCAUUCUACCAUCCAAGAUACCAAAGGUCUUCAAAGUCAUCUGGAAGACCUGGAGCGUGAACUCAAAGCCAAAAAAGAAGUCCACGGGAACAGUCCUGAGUGCUGCUUUCUGUCAGAGGACAGCCCUGAAGCUGAGAGCGGAGAAUCAGCAGCAGAGCCUUUGUCCUUCACCCUGCAUUCUCCAGGACAAGUAUCAGCAAUAAUUCCAAGAUUCUUAGCUCACCAUAGCUACAGUCCUUUUGAGGGUCGUAGUGAGAACCCAGAAAGUGAGCUUCCUCUGACUGCUGGACAGUAUUGUUUAUUGUCUUUGGAGAUGUGGAUGAGGAUGGCUGGUUUCUGGGAGAGCUGACAGAUGGCACAAGAGGACUGGUCCCUUCCAAUGUGGUUGUGGAAGUUUCCGAUGAUGAACUGGAUACAACGAUGCCUCUAGAGCUUUGUGAUCUCCUGCUGGACACUGAUGAUUAAGUGGAUGCAGAGAUUCCAUAACGCAGCAACAUCCUGUAAAAAUUCCUGCACUGAUUCCUCUGCAAGACUACCCCCUGCUCCACUAGAUGUUCAAGUGGAGUGUGAGCAGGAUGUGGAUGAGCUCCUUCAGGAGCUCUGUGGUGACUGACAGUGUAACUGCAUAGUCUUAUUAUAUAUUAAAAACAAAAAAAAAAGAACCAAAAAAAACCAAUAAAACAAACAAAAAACCCAACACUGUUCUUUUUCUUGGAUACAUUGACUUGAUACUUUUUCUAGCUGAGACUUUGCAGUGAGUCUUGAAGCAGAUUUGAACUGGUAGAAGUUGGCAGUGUCUGCAUUCCGUUCUCCUAAUUUCCUUGCUGGUCGGAGUUAACGUGCCCUGCAUCCGUUCCCCAGCUCCAGCUGUCUCCUGAAUCAUGAGAGCAGCCUUUCCAUAUUGUGAAAACAGCCCUUUCACAUAGUUGGAGUGGAUUCAUGCUGAAGGACAAGAUGCUUGUGGACAUGUAAGCUCAGGAAAAGAAUGUAGAGUCCAUGGAAACUUGCUGCCAAACAACACUAAGAAAGAAGAAUAGACUCCUGUUGUUGAAGAUGGAACAGUAAAACAGAUGCCCCAACAAAACACAAUGCCAGUACAAGCUGGUUGGGGCUACUCCCCCUGAAAAGGCUGGAAGUUCACAGCGAGGUAGACUACUAGCCCUCAUUCAAUGACUAGCAGAGACCCCCACCAUGUUUUUAGGACACGUGCUCAAGAGGGUGGGACAAUAUGUUAAUAAUUUCUCAGAAUUCCAGCCCAUCUUCAUGGAAUGUAAUGAAUAUAUGUAUGCAAUGUCUUUAAAUACGUAACCAUUGCUUUUCUCGGUGUGAGAGGUAGGAGGAGAUAUCCCCUUGCAUCUGGUGCCAUAAGGAGCAUACCUGGUUUAUGACCUUACGUGAGUUAUGAGUUUGAUUCCACACAUCACUCCCUUCACUAUUAAGAGGACAAAGAACUUCUGUCACAGAAGGAUGCCCAUCUGCAAGGCUUACGUUUCAUGCUUCUUCCUUCCUCUCUGCUUGGUAAAACUCCAUGCUGGGCUCAUUUGGAAGGAAGGCUUGGUGUUCUGAUUUCUUGGACAGUCGUUACCUAAAGCCUGGAGUGCCUCUGUCAAGUGUGGCGGUGCAACUCCCGCUCCCCACACUCUCCCCCUUCUCUCAGGCCUCUCAGUGCACUUCUUCUCCUCAGACAAAAGGCGGAGAACCAGUACAUGGAGGUACUCUUCCUCUUCCCUUGCCCCUGCUUGCCUCUGGGUAGCAAGGAGCAAUGAAUUGGAACAUUAGGGGAUGCCCUUGUUGUAUCUGACUCCUGCUUUGUGCCCCAUAGCCCAGGAACAAACCUGGAGACAAUGAUCUCCUGGCAGCCUGGGACAUGUGUACACGAAUCACGGCCCAAGUGGGGUAGCUUGGAAUUUGUGAGUCCAGCAAGUUCUGGGCUUUGCACAACUGGUGGAAAGAACCGGAAGACUUUGCCAUCCAAGGGGGCUGGUAUGGAAUAGGACCCAUCAGAUCUCAAUCGUCUCAGACCCUAUAACUAGAGAUUCUAAGCAAGUGUUAAUAUUUAUAAAUAUCUGAAGGGAAGUGGGAGGAAAAUGGAUGAGGCGCACAUCUUGGUGAUGUGCAGUGGUAGGACAAUGAGCAAUGGCCCAGAACUUGAACACAGGAAGUUCCACGCAAACAUGUGAAAGCCCUUCUUUAUGGUCAUGGUGGGGGAACACCGGGACAGGUUGCCCAGAGAGGUGGUGGAGGUUAUGACCAGCAUCUCCUCUGGGUUGGGAUGCCUCUUAGGUACUGCCAAAUCCUCGAGGCCAUCUACCAGUGGAGGCCAGGGCAAAGGCGCCCCCCUGGAGUCAGACUUGAUUAUGAUCUGAUGAGGAAUGGUGGUGGCCUGUUGUAUUUGCUCCACACUCAGGUAGACGCAAAUUGUAAGCAGAAGUCAACUUGCAUUUCUUCCAUCCACCUCCCUACUUAUUUAUCUGUUUUAAUGAUACACAUUUGUUUCACAACUGUGGAUGCUGAGAUAUUUUACUUUUCCACACUUCUUUUGUGUUUGAGUGUAUGUUUGUGUAUGAGUAUCUGUACAUUGAUUUGGGAUGUCCUGUUAUUACGAUAGCACGAAUCUUGUCAUCUGCAAAUCCGUAAUCAGGUCCCUGCUUAAUUGUCACACAUUUCAUUAAAUCACGUUAUUAACCUCCAA
This 3392-nucleotide long non-coding RNA is filed under the name Gallus gallus (chicken). Lineage: Eukaryota; Metazoa; Chordata; Aves; Galliformes; Phasianidae. The record is from RNAcentral.